RNAcentral lists this ribosomal RNA (648 nucleotides) under uncultured cyanobacterium. Its description in RNAcentral is "bacterial SSU rRNA". It matches the Rfam family "Bacterial small subunit ribosomal RNA", at positions 66 to 756 of the family's 1533-position model. Lineage: Bacteria; Bacillati; Cyanobacteriota. The record is from RNAcentral.
ACGCAUCUCUUCGGGGAUGAGUGGCGGACGGGUGAGUAACGCGUGAGAAUCUGCCUUCAGGACUGGGACAACCACUGGAAACGGUGGCUAAUACCAGAUAUGCAGUGAGUGAAAAGGUUUAUUCCGCCUGAAGAUGAGCUCGCGUCAGAUUAGUUAGUUGGUGAGGUAACGGCUUACCAAGGCAUCGAUCUGUAGCUGGUCUGAGAGGAUGACCAGCCACACUGGGACUGAGAGACGGCCCAGACUCCUACGGGAGGCAGCAGUGAGGAAUUUUCCGCAAUGGGCGCAAGCCUGACGGAGUAAUACCGCGUGCGGGAGGAAGGUCUAUUGACUGUAAACCGCUUUUAUUAAGAAAGAAUUCUGACGGUACUUAAUGAAUAAGCCUCGGCUAACUCCGUGCCAGCAGCCGCGGUAAGACGGAGGAGGCAAGCGUUAUCCGGAAUUAUUGGGCGUAAAGCGUCCGUAGGUGGUUUUGCAAGUCUGCUGUCAAAGCCCGUGGCUCAACCACGGAAAGGCAGUGGAAACAACAAAACUCGAGUGCAGUAGGGGCAGAGGGAAUUCCCAGUGUAGCGGUGAAAUGCGUAGAGAUUGGGAAGAACACCCGUGGCGAAAGCGCUCUGCUGGACUGCAACUGACACUAAGGGACGA